RNAcentral lists this unclassified non-coding RNA (20 nucleotides) under Mus musculus (house mouse). Its description in RNAcentral is "oocyte_clustered_small_RNA5760". The record is from RNAcentral. Lineage: Eukaryota; Metazoa; Chordata; Mammalia; Rodentia; Muridae.
UAAGAAGCAGUAUGCACAGG